Molecule: ribosomal RNA, 171 nt
Filed under: uncultured eukaryote
Lineage: Eukaryota
Description: partial 18S ribosomal RNA
Rfam family: Eukaryotic small subunit ribosomal RNA
Source: RNAcentral
AUUCCUACGGGAGGCAGCAGGCGCGUAAAUUACCCAAUCCUGACUCAGGGAGGUAGUGACAAGAAAUAACGGACCGGCCUUUUAGGCUCGGGAUUGCAAUGAGCCGAAUUUACACCCCUUAGCGAGGACCCAUUGGAGGGCAAGUCUGGUGCCAGCAGCCGCGGUAAUAAU